Oncorhynchus tshawytscha (Chinook salmon) is the source of this 415-nucleotide long non-coding RNA. The record is from Ensembl. Lineage: Eukaryota; Metazoa; Chordata; Actinopteri; Salmoniformes; Salmonidae.
UAAUGUGAUAUAAAGUGUAAUAUUGGAAUGAAACUGACAUGGUACAUGUGUCUUAUAUUUAGACAGUCAAAUAGUGAUGGAUAUCUCAGAAAAAACGAUGCAGAGGAAAUAUAUGACAUUUUAAAUGCGGUCCUCCGGACCAGGUUGAAGAUCAAAUGCGGCCCACUUGGCAAAAUGAGUGUGACACCCCUGAUCUAGACUGUUAGAGAGGUUACUACCCUCACUGUUCCCCAUGCUACUUCCUCAAACAGAGGUUACUACCCUCACUGUUCCCAAUACUACUUCCUCAAACAGAGGUUACUACCCUCACUGAUCCUAAUACUACUUCCUCAAACAGAGGUUACUACCCUCACUGAUCCCAAUGCUACUUCCUCAAACAGAGGUUACUACCCUCACUGAUCCCAAUACUACUUCC